Molecule: ribosomal RNA, 1407 nt
Filed under: Triticum aestivum (bread wheat)
Lineage: Eukaryota; Viridiplantae; Streptophyta; Magnoliopsida; Poales; Poaceae
Description: partial small subunit ribosomal RNA
Source: RNAcentral
AUGCAGCCCGCCGCCUCCCACGUGACCUCCACUCUCCGCCGCCGCCUCCUCUCCGCCUCCCGGCGGCCUCCCUGCCUCCCCCCUCCGACCUCCCCGCCCGUCUCCCGCGGAGCCGUGACGGAGGAGAGGGACCCAUGGAGCUCGCCGGCGACCACCUCGAGCUGCUCCCCCACCGCCCCGCCGCCGGCUGCUGCUCCCGCCCCCCGCCCCCUCUCCGCUCCCGUCGCCGGGAACUGGCCGCACCACCAGCUCCACCGCCUCAACGUCCCCGACCACCAGGUUGAUGCUAUGAGGGUAGGACUCCGAAGUCUGACCAGCACUUCCGUUUCAACCAGAGUCGCCUACAGCCACAGGUGCUCCAAUGCAUAUUCGACUUGUUGCGCCCCAAAGCGAGAAGUGAUACCAGUGGAAACACCCUCAUCGGAUAUGCUUGUCGAUUCGUUCGGGAGGUUCCACAACUACUUGAGGAUCUCCUUGACCGAGCGCUGUAAUCUGAGAUGUCAGUACUGCAUGCCUGCCGAAGGAGUCGAGCUCACACCAAAGUCAGAGCUUCUGUCACAUGACGAGAUAAUCCGAAUUGCCAAUCUUUUUGUUAUUUCUGGUGUCGACAAGAUCAGGUUAACUGGUGGAGAACCAACCGUUAGAAAAGACCUGGAAGAUAUUUGUUUGCAUCUUUCUGGCCUCAAGGGGCUGAAAACUCUUGCGAUGACCACAAAUGGGAUCGUCCUUUCCAAGAAGCUCCCGAGACUGAAAGAAUGUGGUCUUAACGCUUUAAAUAUUAGCUUGGACACAUUGAUUCCUGCAAAGUUUGAGUUCAUGACGAGGCGUAAAGGGCACUCGAAGGUCAUGGAAUCAAUAGAUACUGCCAUACAACUUGGAUAUGACCCCGUCAAGGUUAACUGUGUUAUCAUGCGUGGAAUGAAUGAUGAUGAAAUCUGCGAUUUUGUUGAAUUGACUAGACACAAGCCUAUUAAUGUUCGAUUUAUUGAGUUUAUGCCAUUUGAUGGUAAUGUUUGGAAUGUCAAGAAGCUGGUCCCUUAUGCAGAGAUACUGGAUAAAGUGCGUCAACAUUUCAAAGGUGUAGAGAGACUUCAAGAUCACCCUUCAGACACCGCAAAGAAUUUCAAGAUUGAUGGGCAUGCUGGAACAAUUUCAUUUAUUACAUCAAUGACAGAGCAUUUUUGUGCUGGUUGCAAUAGAUUGCGAUUAUUGGCUGAUGGCAACUUCAAAGUGUGCUUAUUUGGCCCCUCGGAGGUGAGCUUGAGAGAGCCUAUACAUUCUGGUAUUGAUGAUGCUGGACUGAAGGAAAUAAUUAGUGCUGCGGUUAAAAGGAAAAAAGCUAAACAUGCUGGGAUGUUUGAUAUUGCGAAGACAGCAAAUAGACCUAUGAUACAUAUCGGUGGCUGA